AGAGAGAGACAUGCGCGCAUAUCAAUAAGCGGAGGAAAAGAAACUAACAAGGAUUCCCCUAGUAACGGCGAGUGAAGCGGGAAGAGCUCAAAUUUGAAAUCUUAAAGGGUUUCCCUUUACGAAUUGUAGUUUAAAGAAGUGUUUUCUGUUGAGGUUUUGGUAAAAGUUCUUUGGAAUAGGACAUCAUAGAGGGUGAGAAUCCCGUAUUUGACCUUUACUUUCAACUUUGUGAUACACUUUCAAAGAGUCGGAUUGUUUGGGAAUGCAGUCCAAAAUGGGUGGUAAAUUUCAUCUAAAGCUAAAUAUUGGCGAGAGACCGAUAGCGAACAAGUACCGUGAGGGAAAGAUGAAAAGAACUUUGAAAAGAGAGUUAAACAGUACGUGAAAUUGUCAAAAGGGAAGCGUUUGACACCAGUGUUGUUUUUCUGAAAAUCAAUUAAAGAACUGUUUAUGCUAAGCUGUUUAGACUUUAUCAGCUAUCUGUUUAGUUUUGAGCUUUUCUUUAAUGCACUUUUCAGUUAACAAGUCAACAUCAAUUUCUUUUGCUGUAAAAAAGCUUGAGGAAGGUGGCUUGAGAUUCGUCUUAAGUGUUUAUAGCCUCUUGCCUAUGCAGUCGGAGAGAUUGAGGUCUGCAGCGUAGAUCCUUCGGGGCUAAAUGCAUUUGUGCUAAGUUAUAGCAUUUUAUAGACAACUUGUUGACUAUGAUUUGUCUUGUAGCUUACUCGCUUAUGUUAUUUUACCUACGCUUAGGAUGUUGAGCGCAUGUCUCUCUCU
RNAcentral lists this ribosomal RNA (774 nucleotides) under uncultured Neocallimastigales. RNAcentral's name for it is "partial large subunit ribosomal RNA". It matches the Rfam family "Eukaryotic large subunit ribosomal RNA", at positions 23 to 616 of the family's 3401-position model. The record is from RNAcentral. Lineage: Eukaryota; Fungi; Neocallimastigomycota; Neocallimastigomycetes; Neocallimastigales.